Molecule: ribosomal RNA, 469 nt
Filed under: uncultured bacterium
Lineage: Bacteria
Description: SSU rRNA
Rfam family: Bacterial small subunit ribosomal RNA
Source: RNAcentral
AGGACUAACGCUGGCGGCGUGCCUAACACAUGCAAGUCGAACGAGGGGUAGCAAUACCCCUAGUGGCAGACUGGUGAGUAACACGUAGUCAACCUACCUCUUAAUGGGGGAUAACUAGCCGAAAGGUUAGCUAAUACCGCAUACGAUCGUCGAGUGGCAUCACACGACGAUGAAAGGAGCAAUCCGUUGAGAGAGGGGACUGCGUCCCAUUAGUUAGUUGGUGGGGUAAUGGCCUACCAAGACUCCGAUGGGUAGCUGGCUUGAGAGAGCGACCAGCCACACUGGAACUGAGACACGGUCCAGACUCCUACGGGAGGCAGCAGUGAGGAAUUUUCCGCAAUGGGGGAAACCCUGACGGAGCGACGCCGCGUGUGGGAAGAAGGCCUUCGGGUCGUAAACCACUGUCGAGGGGGACGAUAUUGACGGUACCCCUGGAGGAAGCCCCGGCUAACUACGCGCCAGCAGCCGC